GGAGACGUGUCCGAGUGGUUGAAGGAGCACGCUUGGAAAGCGUGUGUGCGUUCACGCGUACCCAGGGUUCGAAUCCCUGCGUCUCCGCCA
This 90-nucleotide transfer RNA is filed under the name Armatimonadota bacterium. RNAcentral's name for it is "Armatimonadetes bacterium (aquatic metagenome) tRNA-Ser". It matches the Rfam family "tRNA". From Rfam's summary of the family: Transfer RNA (tRNA) molecules are approximately 80 nucleotides in length. Their secondary structure includes four short double-helical elements and three loops (D, anti-codon, and T loops). The record is from RNAcentral. Lineage: Bacteria; Bacillati; Armatimonadota.